This 23-nucleotide small nuclear RNA is filed under the name Arabidopsis thaliana (thale cress). RNAcentral's name for it is "snRNA_05527". Lineage: Eukaryota; Viridiplantae; Streptophyta; Magnoliopsida; Brassicales; Brassicaceae. The record is from RNAcentral.
GUCUAUGCUCCGAGUGAUCAAUU